This is a non-coding RNA of Acanthosepion pharaonis, 114 nucleotides long. The record is from the annotation of a GenBank genome assembly. NCBI's taxonomy places the organism in Eukaryota, Metazoa, Mollusca, Cephalopoda, Sepiida, Sepiidae.
UUACGGCCAUAUCAGUUUGAAACAACAGUUCUCAUAUAACCACCGAAGUUAAACAACGUCGAGCCUUGUCAGUACUUAGAUGGGUGAUCACUCUGGAAUUCCAGCAGUUGUAAG